ACGACGUUCGCUGAUGCGUUCCGCAUCAACCUCAUCCUCUUCGGCAUGGUCUCCCUACUCACUGCCACGGUGUUGCCUGGCUGCUAGGCAAGUUCGAUUGAUGCCAUGAAGCUACUCCCCCCACUCCGUCACAAAAGCCAAUAAGUAAUAAGUAAUCCUUACCUCUUUAUUUUCUUUUCUGCAAAUCAGUUAGUUCUUCUCACUACAAAAUUUUAAGGAAGGCAAAAAUACAUUGGUGUCUACUGUUGGUUUGCGAAUCUGCCAUACUUUAAGAAAUAUGGGUAUUGGAUGAUUGGGAAUUUAAGGAUAUGAGAUAUUGUCCACACACACAAUUUGAAGUGUUGUUCCUGGAACAUCAAAAUUAUUAUGACACAAUAGAUAGAAAUUUUCAGCAGAAAGAAGGUGCAUAUUCUUCUCCAUAUCACCAUGUGACAUGGUUUGUUAAUAAGCAUCAAUCUUCUCUGUUCAAUGCGGAAUGAUCCUAUGAUCAUGUGAUUUUAUGUAUAGAAGAUAAGCAUAGUUACGUACAAAAUGAAAUCACACGAAUGUACUAUUAUUCCCAACCAGCAAGAUAGAAAAUGAAGCUACCUAUAAAGGUUGUCUGAUGGUUGGAUCUGUUUGCUGUGGUUUAUAUGCUUGCAGUAAUGGAACAUACAUUGACUAGCAGGUAAUGUGCCUUAUUUUAUUUUGUAAAACUUAUGAUAUGUAUCUAAAUUGUUACUUUGAAAUUUUGGACAGGAUCGAGAACUAACUGCAGGGGUCUUCAGCAACACUAGCAAUAGGAAGGUUUGUUUCAUGAAGAAUUCAAAGCUAGCUACCCUGUAAGUUCAUCAUUUGUGGAGGUAUCUGCUGAAAAAAUGUAUACGCCAUGCAACAAUUACAACAAAUAUUUUGCUUACCAUGCCCUCCCCUAGAUUAAUUAUUUCGAGGAACUCAUGAAAUUCAAAUCUAGCAACCCCGUAUGUUCAUCAUUUGUGCGGAUAUCUGCUGAAAACAAAUGUAUACAUCAUGCAACAAUUACAACAAUUAUUCUGCUUACUAUGCUCUCCCCUUGGUUAAUUAUUUCGAGGAACUCACAGAAGAAUAGAGAUAGCAUAAGCAUAUCUCUAACCGUCCGACACGGUAGCUGCAGCAACUCCACCACAAGAUGAUGGACGCAACCCUGUUCCUUUAUUGAUUAUGACGCCUACCACUCAGUAACACACAUCCCAGUCCCAUCAAUCUACAGUUACAUGUAUAGAUAGAUGCAUGCUGGAUAGAACGUGUUGCUAUGGAUGCUUAUACCGACAAAUUUAUCCCACAAUAUCUCCCAUAACUUGAUGAACAUAUAUGCUAGAUGGCAGGUCAUGCAAUGGAUGAAAAACUUGGCGUAUGAAUUGUAUAUGAUCUGAAGAACCUAAUUGUUGUCCCACUACUGUCAGCUUUGAUUUAUAGGUCAUCAAGAAGGCACUCUU
This 1454-nucleotide long non-coding RNA is filed under the name Triticum aestivum (bread wheat). RNAcentral's name for it is "long non-coding RNA (TAES_LNC018946)". The record is from RNAcentral. Lineage: Eukaryota; Viridiplantae; Streptophyta; Magnoliopsida; Poales; Poaceae.